GCGGCGGACGGGUGAGUAACGCGUGGGUAACCUACCCUGUACACACGGAUAACAUACCGAAAGGUAUGCUAAUACGGGAUAAUAUAUUUGAGAGGCAUCUCUUAAAUAUCAAAGGUGAGCCAGUACAGGAUGGACCCGCGUCUGAUUAGCUAGUUGGUAAGGUAACGGCUUACCAAGGCGACGAUCAGUAGCCGACCUGAGAGGGUGAUCGGCCACAUUGGAACUGAGACACGGUCCAAACUCCUACGGGAGGCAGCAGUGGGGAAUAUUGCACAAUGGGCGAAAGCCUGAUGCAGCAACGCCGCGUGAGUGAUGAAGGCCUUCGGGUCGUAAAACUCUGUCCUCAAGGAAGAUAAUGACGGUACUUGAGGAGGAAGCCCCGGCUAACUACGUGCCAGCAGCCGCUGUAAUACGUAGGGGGCUAGCGUUAUCCGGAUUUACUGGGCGUAAAGGGUGCGUAGGCGGUCUUUCAAGUCAGGAGUGAAAGGCUACGGCUCAACCGUAGUAAGCUCUUGAAACUGGGAGACUUGAGUGCAGGAGAGGAGAGUGGAAUUCCUAGUGUAGCGGUGAAAUGCGUAGAUAUUAGGAGGAACACCAGUUGCGAAGGCGGCUCUCUGGACUGUAACUGACGCUGAGGCACGAAAGCGUGGGGAGCAAACAGGAUUAGAUACCCUGGUAGUCCACGCU
This 687-nucleotide ribosomal RNA is filed under the name uncultured bacterium. RNAcentral's name for it is "bacterial SSU rRNA". It matches the Rfam family "Bacterial small subunit ribosomal RNA", at positions 95 to 801 of the family's 1533-position model. The record is from RNAcentral.